GGGAAAGAUGGAUCAACCAUGAUUGAAUGGUGAUAGACAUGAUGGGCCAAAUGGACUUAAUUCUGCUCCUGUGACUUAUGAACUGUUUGGAACAAUGGAAUUUAACAGCAAAAACUGAGCUUUGGGGAUUUCAAACAUUUCAUUGAGUUAGUGGAGAGUCCAACUGAGUACUGAGGUCAUGCAUCCACUUAAAGAGUCCAAGUCCAGUCAUCGGACGCUGAUGGAACUUGUUGAGAGCAAGAAACGGCAUAACUUACCAGAUGAAUUUUGAACAUGGGUAACAUCAGAUCAGUUUUUUAUCGUGGUGUAUUUUAUUUCGCCAUGUAGCAGCAUGACCUUGAGAAGACCUGAGACAAUAAUAGAGUGAAGUGGCUGGUUCUCAUUUUAACAGCAGCUGUGUCUGCAUUGGUGAGGC
This is a long non-coding RNA of Amblyraja radiata (thorny skate), 415 nucleotides long. RefSeq lists it as uncharacterized. NCBI's taxonomy places the organism in Eukaryota, Metazoa, Chordata, Chondrichthyes, Rajiformes, Rajidae. The record is from RefSeq and is a predicted model, not a curated record. The transcript has 3 exons.